RNAcentral lists this non-coding RNA (173 nucleotides) under Nicotiana sylvestris (wood tobacco). Its description in RNAcentral is "Eukaryotic small subunit ribosomal RNA". It matches the Rfam family "Eukaryotic small subunit ribosomal RNA", at positions 1095 to 1539 of the family's 1831-position model. Lineage: Eukaryota; Viridiplantae; Streptophyta; Magnoliopsida; Solanales; Solanaceae. The record is from Rfam by way of RNAcentral.
AAAUCAAAGUUUUUGGGUUCCGGGGGGAGUAUGGUCUCAAGGCUGAAACUUAAAGGAAUUGACAGAAGGGCAAUACCAGGAGUGGAGCACGGCGCGCGCAGGGGGACUUGUGCUUCUUUUGAAACACAAACGACUCUCGGCAAUGGAUAUCUCGGCUCUCGCAUCGAUGAAGA